CCUCUCAGAUACAUAGCCCGUCCGCAGAUUUAGCAAAAUCAUUUCAACAGCCAGGCCUUAAGCACUAGAGGCAAACCCUUG
Egretta garzetta (little egret) is the source of this 81-nucleotide long non-coding RNA. RefSeq lists it as uncharacterized. The transcript is spliced from 3 exons. The record is from RefSeq and is a predicted model, not a curated record. Lineage: Eukaryota; Metazoa; Chordata; Aves; Pelecaniformes; Ardeidae.